UACGAAGGGGGCUAGCGUUGUUCGGAAUCACUGGGCGUAAAGGGCGCGUAGGCGGCUUUAUAAGUCGGGGGUGAAAGCCUGUGGCUCAACCACAGAAUUGCCUUCGAUACUGUAGAGCUUGAGACCGGAAGAGGUAAGUGGAACUGCGAGUGUAGAGGUGAAAUUCGUAGAUAUUCGCAAGAACACCAAUGGCGAAAGCAGCUUUCUGGGACGGUACUGACGCUGAGACGCGAAAGCGUGGGGAGCGAACAGG
This 253-nucleotide ribosomal RNA is filed under the name uncultured bacterium. RNAcentral describes it as "partial 16S ribosomal RNA". It matches the Rfam family "Bacterial small subunit ribosomal RNA", at positions 524 to 776 of the family's 1533-position model. The record is from RNAcentral.